CUGGGGUUGUUCAGUGGUAGAACACUUGCCUAGCAUGUGUAAGGCACUGGGUUCAAUUCUCAACACCACA
Molecule: transfer RNA, 70 nt
Filed under: Marmota monax (woodchuck)
Lineage: Eukaryota; Metazoa; Chordata; Mammalia; Rodentia; Sciuridae
Description: tRNA.Ala
Source: RNAcentral